GUGGGGAAUCUUAGACAAUGGGCGCAAGCCUGAUCUAGCCAUGCCGCGUGAGCGAUGAAGGCCUUAGGGUUGUAAAGCUCUUUCGUGGGGGAAGAUAAUGACUGUACCCCAAGAAGAAGCCCCGGCUAACUCCGUGCCAGCAGCCGCGGUAAUACGGAGGGGGCUAGCGUUGUUCGGAAUUACUGGGCGUAAAGCGCACGUAGGCGGACUGGAAAGGCAGGGGUGAAAUCCCGGGGCUCAACCCCGGAACUGCCUUUGAAACUCCCAGUCUUGAGUUCGAGAGAGGUGAGUGGAAUUCCGAGUGUAGAGGUGAAAUUCGUAGAUAUUCGGAGGAACACCAGUGGCGAAGGCGGCUCACUGGCUCGAUACUGACGCUGAGGUGCGAAAGCGUGGGGAGCAAACAGGAUUAGAUACCCGUGUAGUCC
This 425-nucleotide ribosomal RNA is filed under the name uncultured bacterium. RNAcentral describes it as "partial 16S ribosomal RNA". It matches the Rfam family "Bacterial small subunit ribosomal RNA", at positions 354 to 796 of the family's 1533-position model. The record is from RNAcentral.